RNAcentral lists this ribosomal RNA (482 nucleotides) under uncultured bacterium. Its description in RNAcentral is "partial 16S ribosomal RNA". It matches the Rfam family "Bacterial small subunit ribosomal RNA", at positions 30 to 507 of the family's 1533-position model. The record is from RNAcentral.
AUUGAACGCUGGCGGCAUGCCUUACACAUGCAAGUCGAACGGUAACGGGCCUUCGGGUGCCGACGAGUGGCGAACGGGUGAGUAAUACAUCGGAACGUGCCCGAUCGUGGGGGAUAACGAGGUGAAAGCUUUGCUAAUACCGCAUACGAUCUACGGUUGAAAGCAGUGGACCGCAAGGCCUUGCGCGGACGGAGCGGCCGAUGGCAGCUUAGGUAGUUGGUGGGAUAAAAGCUUACCAAGCCGACGAUCUGUAGCUGGUCUGAGAGAAUGAUCAGCGACACUGGGACUGAGACACGGCCAAGACUCCUACGGGAGGCAGCAGUGGGGAAUUUUGGACAAUGGGCGGAAGCAUGAUCCAGCCAUGCCGCGUGCAGGAUGAAGGCCUUCGGGUUGUAAACUGCUUUUGUACGGAACGAAAAGCCUUCUUUUAAUACAGGAGGGUCAUGACGGUACCGGAAGAAUAAGCACCGGCUAACUACGUG